RNAcentral lists this ribosomal RNA (497 nucleotides) under uncultured bacterium. RNAcentral's name for it is "partial 16S ribosomal RNA". It matches the Rfam family "Bacterial small subunit ribosomal RNA", at positions 28 to 507 of the family's 1533-position model. The record is from RNAcentral.
GAUGAACGCUGGCGGCGUGCCUAAUACAUGCAAGUCGAGCGAACGGACGAGAAGCUUGCUUCUCUGAUGUUAGCGGCGGACGGGUGAGUAACACGUGGAUAACCUACCUAUAAGACUGGGAUAACUUCGGGAAACCGGAGCUAAUACCGGAUAAUAUUUUGAACCGCCUGGUUCAAAAGUGAAAGACGGUCUUGCUGUCACUUAUAGAUGGAUCCGCGCUGCAUUAGCUAGUUGGUAAGGUAACGGCUUACCAAGGCAACGAUGCAUAGCCGACCUGAGAGGGUGAUCGGCCACACUGGAACUGAGACACGGUCCAGACUCCUACGGGAGGCAGCAGUAGGGAAUCUUCCGCAAUGGGCGAAAGCCUGACGGAGCAACGCCGCGUGAGUGAUGAAGGUCUUCGGAUCGUAAAACUCUGUUAUUAGGGAAGAACAUAUGUGUAAGUAACUGUGCACAUCUUGACGGUACCUAAUCAGAAAGCCACGGCUAACUACGUG